AUUUCAUGCAUUUACAAUUUGUGCGUCAUCAAGUUACAACUAAAGCCGAGAAAGAAUUACGAUAAAUACCGAGAUGAACUGCGAAGGACCAAAGUCAUUGCCAUUGCCAUUGUCAUUGCCUUAUUGAUCUUAGGUCUACUGUACAUGCACUUCAAUCGGCUGGCGCACGUUGGGUGCCCUUGGGAGGAACAUGUGGUUAUAGCGACUAUCUAGUGGAGUGUUUGCUUGUGGGCGCCUUUUCUGGUGGCUCGUCCGCCGUAGAAGAUGUCUGUGCUGCUUCGCUUGCUGAAUCGGAUUCAGUGUGGAUUGAAUGCUCCACUCCGUCGUUAAGGGCGGCUGCCAGCUCGCCGUUGAACUGCAGCAGGCAACCCAGAGCCCCAAAGUAUCCCUCGUGCUCCAGGAAAAGACCCUUCAUUGUGCCAUUGGACCAGAACUCCAUUGCGUACGCCAGCAGCUUCAUGGAAAUGGGGUUAACUCGCAGAAAGUUGCCCACAAAGACGACCUGAAAUGGGUUUGUUGCUCAGUCUACGAGGAUAUGUAUGUAACGAAAAUUGAUACUUACCCUAUCGAUCUUCUCAUUCAGCGCGCACAUCCUUGCUAUGGAGCCGAUAUUAUUCGUUAUGGUGACCAGAGUGGCGUUGGCCAGAUCUUCGCGUGAUACGGAAACCCGUUUGUCGUUGAGAUGCAUCUGGCCAAAGCUAGAAAUGGAAAAUUCGUAACUGGUACAUGGCCCUUCAUUUCUGGCUUUGCUACCUUGACGCCACCAAAUCGCCGGGGAGACCAAAGCGGUUGUAAUCGCCACCAUAAAUGUCCUUAACUAACUUGUCCACCUUCCUAUUGUCACCCUUGGUGGCCAGUUGGAUGGCCUCUUCGAAGGAUGUGCAGCCGGUGAGUAGACAACACAGGCCGAGGAAUGUACCGCCGCCCAAGCUGAACAAUACAUUUCAUUUAGCAUCGUUGCAAUAAUGUGUAAUUUCAUGAAGAGCAGUCUUACCUCGUGCCCGAAAUCCGCUUGUAGUUGUCGGGACCGUAGACCGCCAGGAUGGAGACUCCGGAUCCGACGUUCACCAGAAUAAACGGAAACGGUUGAGAGAAAUUGAACUGCUGCUUUUCGCUUUUUCUACAAAUUGUAUGGUUAGGAUCUACAGACUCCUUGACGCCAGCGCUUGGUCCACUUACAGAAUGUCACGUGCGUUUUCGUAGUAGUAGCACUCCGUGCGAUUAUGCAGAUCGGCGAAGAGAAUGCCUUUGAUGAGCGUGUCCAGCUCGUCGAAUUUAGCCAGCUUCAUGUUGACUUGGUCGCGGAAAUCCUGCUCGAACUUGAAUGCGCCACCGCCGGUGGCACAAACCGUGGUCACCAGCUCGGCCAUGCCCUUCUGCUUGGCAAGCGAUAGGAAGUUGCCCAUGUCCGUGGUCUGGAAGCGAAUGAAAUGCAAGGAGCCGCGUCUUUUGCGUAUCUCGACAUUGUCCAUCUGAAAAACGAUAGGGAUUACAAAAACCGCUUAGGGCGAAUAAAUAUUACCUAUUCUAAGAAU
This is a non-coding RNA of Drosophila melanogaster (fruit fly), 1535 nucleotides long. The record is from Ensembl. NCBI's taxonomy places the organism in Eukaryota, Metazoa, Arthropoda, Insecta, Diptera, Drosophilidae.